AGUAUAUCAAGUUAUCAAAUAACAAAAAUGCAGUAUAUUGUGGAAGUGUACAUAGACCAAGUAGUAACUUUAAAAAAGUAAUUUUCUUGUUAGAGUACCACAGUUUGGGUUCAAGGACAAAAAAUGCAUUUUAGAGAACAGACAACAAUAAAUCUGUGCAGUUUGUCUUAACUUAGAGUAAGAUUGUCAAAGUGGGGCAGCAGGUGGCCUAGUGGUUAGGGACCAUCGAUUUGUAAUUGUAAGGUUCCUGGUUUCAAUCAGUGCUUCUGCAGUAGCACCUUUCAUCAAGGUGCUUGUCCUGAAGUGUUACAGUAAAAAUUAGCCAGCUGUAUUAAUAGGUAAAUUGCUGUAAGUGAGCUUAGCAUUGCAGGUUUCUUUGGAGGAAAACAUUGGCUACAUGAAUUAGUGAUGAUAAUAAGCAGUUGUGUCUGUAAAUGAGUUUGGCCUCAGCAGGGAAGGCAGUGGAUGAUGCCGCCUCUCCUCACCUGUGUGGUGAUCUGCAACAGGGCCCCUCUCCUCAGGAUCCCUCCACCUCCAUCCCCCGCAGACGCCCUGCUUCUUCUUCACCAGGAAGGAGCGUGGCAUUGCUGGCCUUCGGUUCGGCUCUCUUAAGUGUUUACGUGUCCGCUGCCCCCGCAGAACUGUCCUCGCAUUCAGUUGCCUCUCCGUUUAUUCCUGCGUGUGCGGCUCAUGAAGGGGGUGUCAUCUUACCUGGAUCACCUGUGCACCCCCAGCCCCACGGCCCAGCCCUGAACCCAUACAGAUCCUCCCAACGCGAGAACAAACUUUCCACCUUACUCCUGCUUUGUACUCUGGGUUUACCCUAAAGCAAAUGGCUUGUCAGCAUCACCGAUGACCAAUGGCCCUGUUGAACUGUGCUGCUCCUUGCAUGACAAGCGCUUUCUCUCCAAGACAACAUUAGGCAAAUGAUAUAGAGGUCAAGUGCGGAACAAGCCAGACAGCGCUGAGACCUGCGUGUGUGUGUUUGUAUGCGUGCAUUAGUGCGCAUGCACCUGCAUUCCUCCAUCUCUGUUUACAACCUCCGAGACCUGCAAGGAGGAGAUGCAAUGUCCCAGUAAGUGCUCGAGUGCUAAGUAAUUGGUGUCUAUGCAGAAUAUUAAGUAAAAAUUGU
RNAcentral lists this long non-coding RNA (1132 nucleotides) under Scleropages formosus (Asian bonytongue). RNAcentral's name for it is "lncRNA (ENSSFOG00015026011.1)". Lineage: Eukaryota; Metazoa; Chordata; Actinopteri; Osteoglossiformes; Osteoglossidae. The record is from RNAcentral.